GACGUUUUGAAAAUAGUAUAUAAAGGAGCAGGGACCUCAGCAACCUCACACUGAAAACCCUAGCCGUUCAUUGCCUCAUUCCACAAUUUUUUCUCUCAAUAUUCAGAGAAUUUCUCUGAAUGAUUCACCUUCACGAUGGAAAAUCCGACGAUUUCCCAUGAAAUCUCCCAAACUAUUUUCAUAUUUCAGUAAAUUCUCUCUUUCUUGAUUUUAACCUAUUAGAUCGAACAUGCAAGCACCGAAGCCAAUGAUUUUGUCGAUUACAACUCUCAAAACGAUUUUUCUGUCGAUUGGGGUUCAUAUCUCCCCUGAGUUUUCGAUUAUUAUCACAGAUAAGUUCAUGCACUGAUUCUUUCCUUUCCCCUUUCAAAUUUCAAUUCUUUUAUUCGUAUAUUCUGACUCUUUGUAACCUAUAUAUAAGGUACGUUCUCUGGGAUUAUAGGCAAUAUCAUAUUUCAUGCAUCGAACAAGUCUUAGAAAAUAGAGACUCAGAGAGUCAGUUGAUUAGGAGAUUAUAUAUUUCCUUCUACGAUGCUGUGUACUUUGUUAAUGUAGAAGAAAGGGUCAAAUCUAAUAUUGAAUGUCUUUGUUCUUUGUUCUUUGUUCUAUGUAGGCUUUCUAUUGUUAAGCUCUAGCAAUCAUCAAGUUUCGGUGCGAGCAAAUUUGAGAAAAGAUAAAGUGAGUUGAUUAAGUUUUACACUCUGUAUUUCCCAUUUAUGAUUCUCUAUACUUAUAUUAUCCAUAAUAAAUUAACGUCUUUAUUUCUUGUUCAUGUAUAGGCUUUCUGCUAUUAAUAAGCUAUUGCAGUCAUCAAGCUUCUGUUCGAUCGGCUUAACUUUUGAAAUUCUACUCAACAUUGGUUAAGGUAAAUUUACUUUCGAGUCUAAAGGAUUGUAACUGUGACACCGUGUGCUACCUGCUAGACUGUUAGUGCUAAUUGUUGUGCAUUUGAAAGUCUGUUUAUGUGUUAUGUAACUAGAGUACUUAUUAGUGAAAUAGUUAAUUAACAAUUUAGCAUGUUCCUCGAUUCUUAAUCUUCUUUUCUUCCAUCAUUGUGAAUUCUAAAUCCUCUUUGAAUCUCUUCUUCUUUAGUUUCUGAAACCUCUCUUCUUCUCUUAUUUCUGAAUCCUCUUUUCUUCUUUGAUUUUUAAAUCCUCUUUGAAUAAUUNNNNNNNNNNNNNNNNNNNNNNNAUUAAUUUGAUCCUGAAUUUUAUCUUUUUCUCUUAAUCAUAAAAUAUAUUCACUAAAGUAAAAGUAACCUUACUAUCUCUACUAGUCUCUUCUCGACUGUUGCAAUCUGAUCGAAGUGUAAAAAGAGAAUUUUUUCAUUAAUUAUAAAAUAUUAGAGGAAGAGAACCCUUCUUUUUUUUUUCUCUUCUACAUCUAAUUUAAGCAUUCUUCUUCUGCUCUUUUAUUAUUAAUUACAAAACAAAAAACAUAAUUAAUGUAAUCUCCUUAAAUUAUAUCUUCUGAACUGCUGAAAUGUGAUGAAGCAUUCUCUCUCUGACAUUAAUUGUAGAGGAUUAGAGGAAGAAAAUCUUUUCUUUUUCUUUUCUACAGUUAAUAUUAGUCGUCUUUUUUUGUUCUGCACUUCCUCCUUGAUUGCGUAACGAGAAUAUAAACACCAAGCUACGUAACAUCCUCUAUAUAGCUAUUCUCUGUUCUCUGCUCUUCUAUCUAAUCCCUCUUUCUGAAACACUUAACCUAAAAUAGAAUCAUUAAUAAUUCUUAAUUUUUUUAAUAUAAAACAAAAACAUCAUAAAUCAUAAUUCUCUUCUUUUCUCUGAUGUACUCUUCCUCAUUGUCUUCUUAACUCUUCUCUUCGGUUCUGUUAAUUAAUAAGCGGUUACAUUAUCAGAUGGAAGGGGCACCUAAUGUCAAUGUGGAACCAAUUGGUAAUGCACCUGAACAAAUUAUCCAAAUUAACGAACCUGAACAGGCAACUGUCGUUGUGCCUGCAAAUGGUAAUUUGGUUAAUGGUAAUGAUGAUGAAGAUGAACCCAGACAACUUAGGCUUACAUCCAAUGUUUGGCCUUACUUCUCUAGGGUUAGGAUUGGUGAGGUAAUGAAGGUUAGGUGCAAGUACUAUAGAAAAUUAUUGGGUGGGGAAACAUCUAAUGGAACUUCUCAUCUGAGAAACCAUCUAAGAUCGUGUAUCCAAAAAAAGAUACACGACGACCAGCAAAAGAUUAUUGGCCCUAAUUACAAACCAACUGGUCCACCCCCAACUUGCUGCAUCCCUGUAUAGAGCUGAUGUUGCUAGGAAGGAACUCUGUUCCAUGAUUUUGGUUCAUGAGUAUCCUCUUAUCAUCGUUGAGCACCUAGGAUUAAAGCAUUUUUUUGUGCCUUGAAACCCCAGUUUACUGUCCCUGGUAAAAACAGAAUCAAGGACAUUAAAUUAGGUCCUGCAAUGAUGUUUAUCAAGUCGCGAUUCAGCUUAGAGGACUUACCUGUAUGGUUGGCAUCGGUGUUUUGCUCAAGGCAUGAACUUGUUGCAGUUGUUGAUAAUCAAAACUGUUGAAUAAUUCUAAAAUUCAGCAAACAUCUGAUUUUCUCAUCUUUUGCAGGUUUUUGGAUUCUGUUUUAUGUUCUUGGAUUAAUCCGAUUCAAGACUGGAUUGGACAUUGAAUGUGGCUGCUACUUGGGAUGAUGCUGGAUGCUGGACUGGAUUGGACAAUGAAGUUGAUUCUUGAAGAUUGAUGUUUUAUGAGUUUAUUUCUUAUUAUGUUGAACAAUUGAACAAGUUGUCAUUCUGCGAUUUUCAGUUUGUUGAACAAUUUCAAGUUAAGUUGGUAGCUGCAGAAUAUGAGCAGCAUAUCAUACUAUUCAUGUCUGAAGUUCAAGUACUAUGCUGAGGUUUUAUUAUUGUUUUCCGAAAUUUUUUAUGUUUGAAGUUAAAGUACUAUGUUUGAAG
This 2914-nucleotide long non-coding RNA is filed under the name Linum usitatissimum (flax). RNAcentral describes it as "long non-coding RNA (LUSI_LNC004283)". Lineage: Eukaryota; Viridiplantae; Streptophyta; Magnoliopsida; Malpighiales; Linaceae. The record is from RNAcentral.